Saccostrea echinata is the source of this 198-nucleotide long non-coding RNA. RefSeq lists it as uncharacterized. NCBI's taxonomy places the organism in Eukaryota, Metazoa, Mollusca, Bivalvia, Ostreida, Ostreidae. The transcript has 2 exons. The record is from RefSeq and is a predicted model, not a curated record.
UGGAAAUACAGUGGACCUUCAGAUAUCCGGACGCCAGAUAUCCGGACACUUCAGUUUCCGGACGAUUUUUCAUGGGAACGAAAUUUUUUAACGUUAUUUUGUCUCGUUUAACCGGAAUUCCGCGUAUUCGGACGCUUCACAUAUCCGGACAAAUUGACUGGGAACCAAAGCGUCCGGAUACAUGAGGCUCCACUGUAG